ACACGACUACAUUAGAUACCCGCGUAGUCCAGGGUGUAAACGCUGCGGGCUUGGUGUUGGGGGUCCUUAGUGGGCGCCCAGUGCCGGAGAGAAGUUGUUAAGCCUGCUGCUUGGGGAGUACGUCCGCAAGGAUGAAACUUAAAGGAAUUGGCGGGGGAGCACCGCAACGGGAGGAGCGUGCGGUUCAAUUGGAUUCAACGCCGGACAACUCACCAGGAGCGACGGUUACAUGAAGGCCAGGCUGAUGACCUUGCCUGAUUUUCCG
This 265-nucleotide ribosomal RNA is filed under the name uncultured archaeon. RNAcentral's name for it is "partial 16S ribosomal RNA". It matches the Rfam family "Archaeal small subunit ribosomal RNA", at positions 717 to 982 of the family's 1478-position model. The record is from RNAcentral.